CUGAUAAAUAUGCAUGGGUCGAUAUCGGAAUAGAUAGCCCGGUUCCUCUUAAAGUACUUCAGCAGGAAGUAUCAAUAGGAGAGCGCGUUAAUGUCAG
This 97-nucleotide non-coding RNA is filed under the name unclassified sequences. RNAcentral describes it as "L4-Archaeoglobi ribosomal protein leader". It matches the Rfam family "L4-Archaeoglobi ribosomal protein leades". The record is from RNAcentral.